This is a long non-coding RNA of Amphibalanus amphitrite, 1133 nucleotides long. RefSeq lists it as uncharacterized. The transcript is spliced from 3 exons. The record is from RefSeq and is a predicted model, not a curated record. Lineage: Eukaryota; Metazoa; Arthropoda; Thecostraca; Balanomorpha; Balanidae.
CACCCAUAUGCUCAUUAUUUUACGAUAGCGUCCACGUGCGGCUCGCGAGCCUUCCGUUUCCGCCAUUUUCAUUUUUGUGUCUGCUCCGGAGCCACGGAGACUUCUGGCGCUUGCAAGUGAUCUUCUGGCGUUUGAAACAGUGAGAUAGGUGCGAGUGUGCUGGUGCGUUCGGUGUGGUGAUGACUGACUAGUGCUGGACCCAUUUCCGAAUAACUUUGAGGGUUUGGGGUGACCUGGCUCUCGUCGUGGGUCACGCCGGCGAGAAUGGCAUUAGGACAAAGUCACCUCAAUGACGCGACAGGCGUGCUACACCGCACAACUCCUGCCUCCGGAGGGCGCCACACCCGUUGAAGAUGACGACCUGGCGGCCACCUUGGUGAUCGGUGGCGGCACGACGAUUUCGGAGCUGCAGGAUGGGCGCAACUCUGUGUCCGUUCACCCAGAAACCCAGUGCCUGGUCAGCGAUGUGAAAUAUCGUCUCCCAAACAGUGAGAUGAAGAUGCUGGCUGUCUUCGCUGCGGCGCACGCUGUGCUAUAUUUGCCUUUUAGAGGGCCCAGCAUGAUCCUUUUUGAGGUCAUAUAUGCACGGGUUAUGAAGUUCGCGAUUCCGCUCAGUGCGGCCGAGAAGGCCAUCCUUCGUAUAAUCCACUGUUGCCGAUUCAGAGGCACCAGUGCAGUGAUCGGGUGACCGAGCAGGGCCCUGUUUCACGCCACGGCACUACUGUGCGCUACUAUGUAGUAUCGCGGUAUUGAGUUUCCAUAGAAACAUCUACAAACUUGGACGCUCCAACAUUGAGAGCGUUCGAGUAUGUGGAUGUUUCCAAUAGGAACAUAGCACCGCGAUACACGUAACGCAGUGUAGUGUCGUGCCGUGAAACAUCUUCAGUACCUAUAGGCACUGAAGAUGAUGUGAGUUGAGAAGGCCUCAGUCAGUUUUUUUUUUACGGAGUUUUUGUUGUCAGUGCUGUCCUAGUUCGUACACCUGUGCUUUGAUUUCAGAGACCGUACGUUUGAUGUCGAUACUCGUUACACGAAGAAAUGCUCAGUUGUUUUUAGAGUACAUGAUGAAACGUGACUUAGUGACCUGAUGACCUGUGCUGUGAAUAAAAUGUGAUUUGUGCAGCUUGUGGUCU